This 328-nucleotide ribosomal RNA is filed under the name uncultured eukaryote. RNAcentral describes it as "partial 18S ribosomal RNA". It matches the Rfam family "Eukaryotic small subunit ribosomal RNA", at positions 1470 to 1796 of the family's 1831-position model. The record is from RNAcentral.
CCCUUAGAUGUUCUGGGCCGCACGCGCGCUACACUGAUGCAUUCAACGAGUCUACAACCUGGUCUGAUAGGGCUGGGUAAUCUUUUGAAUGUGCAUCGUGAUUGGGAUAGAUGAUUGCAAUUCUUCAUCUUCAACGAGGAAUGCCUAGUAAACGCAAGUCAUCAGCUUGCAUUGAUUACGUCCCUGCCCUUUGUACACACCGCCCGUCGCUCCUACCGAUUGAAUGGUCCGGUGAAAUCUUGGGAUUUUGUUUUGUUUGCAUUUAUUUGUAUCGAGACGAGUGAACUUGAGUAAACCUUACCAUUUAGAGGAAGGUGAAGUCGUAACA